AGGAGUGGGGAAUAUGAGGUGUG
This 23-nucleotide non-coding RNA is filed under the name Cricetulus griseus (Chinese hamster). Lineage: Eukaryota; Metazoa; Chordata; Mammalia; Rodentia; Cricetidae. The record is from RNAcentral.